AUGCCCGGGAGGAACAUGCUGCCCAGAAACAAAAGUUUUGUUUUCGUAGAAAAAAACUUGUUGGUAAGCAUGACUGAAAUUACUACCUUGGGUGCGGUAUGGGUUGUCCUCAUCCUGGUCUGCCAACAUGAUCAGCUUUGGCGGCAGCUGGCGAUGUGGUUGCGAGGCUUGGGCGCCAUGGCGAGGACGUCGUCCAGGAUGCCACAUGAGCCUGUCAAGCUCAAGGAUAGGGGGCUUCGGCAGUGGCAAAAGGAUGCACAUAUGGAUGUUCCCUUACCAGGCGUCGUUGUCGACCUGCUAGUCAACAUUCAUCUCUUACUCUGGUUGUGCUAUUAUGCGGGCAUGUGGUGCUUAGUUUUAAUUUCCCUGUCGUUCUUAGACCAUGACUGA
RNAcentral lists this ribosomal RNA (390 nucleotides) under Triticum aestivum (bread wheat). RNAcentral describes it as "partial small subunit ribosomal RNA". Lineage: Eukaryota; Viridiplantae; Streptophyta; Magnoliopsida; Poales; Poaceae. The record is from RNAcentral.